UAUUUUGGAAGAGAUGCAUUUAUUAGAUAAAAAACCAAUACAUACUUUUUCAAGUAUGAAAUUUGGUGAUUUACAAUAACUUAGCAAAUCGCAUAGUGAAAACAGGCGAUAAAUCAUUCAAGUUUCUGACCUAUCAGCUUUCGACGGUAUGGUAUUGGCUUACCGUGGCAGUGACGGUUAACGGGGGAUUAGGGUUCGAUUCCGGAGAGGGAGCCUGAGAAACGGCUACCACAUCUAAGGAAGGCAGCAGGCGCGCAAAUUACCCAAUUCUAACAGCAUAAGAGAGGUAGUGACAAGAAAUAACAAUACAAGGCAGUUAAAAUGCUUUGUAAUUGGAAUGAUAGAAAUUUAAACACUUUUUAAAGUAUCAAUUGGAGGGCAAGUCUGGUGCCAGCAGCCGCGGUAAUUCCAGCUCCAAUAGCGUAUAUUAAAAUUGUUGCAGUUAAAAAGCUCGUAGUUGAAUUUCUGUUAAAAAUAACCGGUCUGCUUUUAAUAAAAGUGGUAUCUUGGUGUGUUUUUAGCAAUAAUGUCCUUUGAAAUGUUUUUUACUUUAUUGUAAUAAAUAAUAUUCAGGAUUUUUACUUUGAGAAAAUUAGAGUGUUUCUAGCAGGCUAACGCUUUGAAUACUGCAGCAUGGAAUAAUAAAAUAGGAUUUUAGUUCUACAUUAUUGGUUUUAAGAACUAAAUUAAUGAUUGAUAGGGACAGUUGGGGGCAUUUGUAUUUAACUGUCAGAGGUAAAAUUCUUAGAUUUGUUAAAGACAAACUACUGCGAAAGCAUUUGCCAAAGAUGUUUUCAUUAAUCAAGAAC
Molecule: ribosomal RNA, 809 nt
Filed under: Hepatozoon felis
Lineage: Eukaryota; Apicomplexa; Hepatozoidae
Description: SSU rRNA
Rfam family: Eukaryotic small subunit ribosomal RNA
Source: RNAcentral